This 253-nucleotide ribosomal RNA is filed under the name uncultured bacterium. RNAcentral's name for it is "partial 16S ribosomal RNA". It matches the Rfam family "Bacterial small subunit ribosomal RNA", at positions 524 to 776 of the family's 1533-position model. The record is from RNAcentral.
UACAGAGGGGGCAAGCGUUGUUCGGAAUUACUGGGCGUAAAGGGCGCGUAGGCGGCCUGUUAAGUCGAACGUGAAAUCCCUGGGCUCAACCCAGGAACUGCGUCCGAUACUGGCAGGCUUGAAUCCGGGAGAGGGAUGUGGAAUUCCAGGUGUAGCGGUGAAAUGCGUAGAUAUGACAUAGAACACCAAUUGCGAAGGCAGCUUACUACGGAUGUAUUGACACUGAGGCACGAAAGCGUGGGGAUCAAACAGG